Ictidomys tridecemlineatus (thirteen-lined ground squirrel) is the source of this 159-nucleotide small nuclear RNA. Its record names the gene U4. It matches the Rfam family "U4 spliceosomal RNA". From Rfam's summary of the family: U4 small nuclear RNA (U4 snRNA) is a component of the major U2-dependent spliceosome. The structure of U4 snRNA from yeast and human has been reported. U4 snRNA presents a k-turn RNA motif in the 5p-SL related to recognition of Snu13 protein. The record is from Ensembl. NCBI's taxonomy places the organism in Eukaryota, Metazoa, Chordata, Mammalia, Rodentia, Sciuridae.
AGCUUUGCACAGUGGCAGUAUCGUAGCCAAUGAGGUUUAUCCGAGGCGCAAUUAUUGCUAAUUGAAAACUUUUCAUACCUGAAUGAGUUGCUAGUGAUUAAAAAUUCAAAUGUUAAAACAAUUCACUUAGUGGGAAUGGUGGCACAUACCUGUAAUCCC